GAGCGGCGAACGGGUGAGUAACACGUGAGUAACCUGCCCUUCACUUUGGGAUAACCCUCGGAAACGGGGGCUAAUACCGGAUAUGACUUCUGGUCGCAUGGCUGGGGGUGGAAAGUUUUUCGGUGGGGGAUGGGCUCGCGGCCUAUCAGCUUGUUGGUGGGGUGAUGGCCUACCAAGGCGACGACGGGUAGCCGGCCUGAGAGGGCGACCGGCCACACUGGGACUGAGACACGGCCCAGACUCCUACGGGAGGCAGCAGUGGGGAAUAUUGCACAAUGGGCGGAAGCCUGAUGCAGCGACGCCGCGUGAGGGAUGACGGCCUUCGGGUUGUAAACCUCUUUCAGCAGGGACGAAGCGCAAGUGACGGUACCUGCAGAAGAAGCGCCGGCCAACUACGUGCCAGCAGCCGCGGUAAGACGUAGGGCGCGAGCGUUGUCCGGAUUUAUUGGGCGUAAAGAGCUCGUAGGCGGCUUGUCGCGUCGACUGUGAAAUCCCGUGGCUCAACUGCGGGUCUGCAGUCCGAUACGGGCAGGCUAGAGUUCGGUAGGGGAGACUGGAAUUCCU
Molecule: ribosomal RNA, 564 nt
Filed under: Micromonospora sp. 410E05
Lineage: Bacteria; Bacillati; Actinomycetota; Actinomycetes; Micromonosporales; Micromonosporaceae
Description: bacterial SSU rRNA
Rfam family: Bacterial small subunit ribosomal RNA
Source: RNAcentral